UUUAAUUGAAGAGUUUGAUCAUGGCUCAGAUUGAACGCUGGCGGCAGGCCUAACACAUGCAAGUCGAACGGUAACAGGGAGCAGCUUGCUGCUCUGCUGACGAGUGGCGGACGGGUGAGUAAUGUCUGGGAAACUGCCUGAUGGAGGGGGAUAACUACUGGAAACGGUAGCUAAUACCGCAUAACGUCUACGGACCAAAGUGGGGGACCUUCGGGCCUCAUGCCAUCAGAUGUGCCCAGAUGGGAUUAGCUAGUAGGUGGGGUAACGGCUCACCUAGGCGACGAUCCCUAGCUGGUCUGAGAGGAUGACCAGCCACACUGGAACUGAGACACGGUCCAGACUCCUACGGGAGGCAGCAGUGGGGAAUAUUGCACAAUGGGCGCAAGCCUGAUGCAGCCAUGCCGCGUGUAUGAAGAAGGCCUUCGGGUUGUAAAGUACUUUCAGCGGGGAGGAAGGCGUUGUGGUUAAUAACCACAGCGAUUGACGUUACCCGCAGAAGAAGCACCGGCUAACUCCGUGCCAGCAGCCGCGGUAAUACGGAGGGUGCAAGCGUUAAUCGGAAUUACUGGGCGUAAAGCGCACGCAGGCGG
RNAcentral lists this ribosomal RNA (590 nucleotides) under Cronobacter sakazakii. RNAcentral's name for it is "bacterial SSU rRNA". It matches the Rfam family "Bacterial small subunit ribosomal RNA", at positions 1 to 578 of the family's 1533-position model. Lineage: Bacteria; Pseudomonadati; Pseudomonadota; Gammaproteobacteria; Enterobacterales; Enterobacteriaceae. The record is from RNAcentral.